UACGUAGGUGGCAAGCGUUGUUCGGAAUUACUGGGCGUAAAGCGCACGUAGGCGGCUUUGUAAGUUAGAGGUGAAAGCCCAGGGCUUAACCCUGGAAUUGCCUUUAAGACUGCAUCGCUAGAAUCGUGGAGAGGUGAGUGGAAUUCCGAGUGUAGAGGUGAAAUUCGUAGAUAUUCGGAAGAACACCAGUGGCGAAGGCGACUCACUGGACACGUAUUGACGCUGAGGUGCGAAAGCGUGGGGAGCAAACAGG
Molecule: ribosomal RNA, 253 nt
Filed under: uncultured bacterium
Lineage: Bacteria
Description: partial 16S ribosomal RNA
Rfam family: Bacterial small subunit ribosomal RNA
Source: RNAcentral